AAGGUUUUGCUCUGUGGCCCAGGCUAGGGUGCAGUGGCACGAUCUCGGCUCACUGCAACCUCCACCUCCCAGGUUCAAGCAAUUCUUCUGCCUCAGCCUCCCAAAUAGCUGGGACUAUAGGCGCACACCACCUAGCCUGGCUAAUUUUUGUAUUUUUAGUAGAGACGGGGUUUUACCAUAUUGGCCAGGCUGGUCUUGAACUCCUGGCCUCAAGUGAUCUGCCCACCUUGGCCUCCCAAAGGGCUGAGAUUGCAGGCAUGAGCUACCGCCCCUGGCAAAUUUUUAAAUUGAGAUGAAGUCUUGCUAUAUUGACCAGGCUGGUCUUGAACUCCUGGGCUCAAGCAAUCCUCCCAUCUCAGCCUCCCAAAAUGCUGGGAUGACAGGGGUGAGCCCCUGCGCCCGACCAGGCUCCAAUCUCUUAUUGCUCCAAGUAGGUGCCCACUUGGUGCUGGGCCUUAGCUGAUCUCCAGGGAGGCAGCGUGAGCACCUGGCAUGGUCCCAGCCCCCGAGCCCAGCCUAACAUGCCGAGUUUUUGCACUGCAAGUCC
This 547-nucleotide small RNA is filed under the name Pan troglodytes (chimpanzee). RNAcentral describes it as "processed transcript". The record is from RNAcentral. Lineage: Eukaryota; Metazoa; Chordata; Mammalia; Primates; Hominidae.